AAAGUCUAGAAGCUAGCAGCUAACAUUUGAACCAGCGUAAUAUAAACUUUAUAUAACAUUUUAAUUUAGAUUGUAUAUUUUAUGAGGUAAUUUUUUUGUAGUUGAGAUAACAUUUUUCCCCACCUUGACUAAUAUUUCUUACUGGUCACUUUAUAUUGUCAGAGAUUUUUUUUUUAUUAUUAAAGAAAUAUAUAUAAUGAAUUAAAACUAAUCAAAUUAUAACAUCGAUAAUAGAUAUUUACUGGGUGUCAAGAAAAUUUAAAUAAUUCAUUAUUAACUAUUAAAAAUUAUCGUGAUUAAAUGUUUAUAUAUUAAUUACUCCAUUUUUUUUUGUCUAUCUCUCUCUAUAAACACGCCCUUUCAUUCCUUGAUGUUGCUUCAUGUAAUUAGGAUUUGCCAUUUGGUCUUUAAACAGAGAGAGAGAGAUGGAGAGGGAGUAUAAAUGCAUUUAUAUACAUGAAACACAAACAAAAAAAAAAGAUUGAAGAAGCAUCCAUAUUUAAUGAUAUCAUGUGAUCAUGUCCAAGAUAAAGAGAGAAUAAGCUAUUAAGUGUACAUGAUUUCAUAAUUAAGGUUGUCACAGCCCACACAUAAAAGAAAGAGAUUACUCAAAUACAUCUCUCUGUUUCUUUUUUCACAAAUCAAAGCCAAAUUAAAGAAGUACUCAACAUAUAUAUAUAUAUAUAUAACAUGUAAUGAACUCGAUAUACUCCAUUUACAUGCUCUUUUUUUGAUAUUUAUGUAGACUCGACAGAUUUGGGAGAAAGGGCAGUUACGUUUCUUGCCGGCGGCAUGGACUUGGAUCUCUUAAACCAUGCAACUCCGUCCGACGACCGGUGAAACUUACACCGGAAAGAUCCUUGAUGUGUUGUUGGGGAGCACAAACACUGCCCUUUUGGUGAACUUACAGGUGCUGAUGAUGACCCCCCACCUUCUUUAGGAGAUGAAGAUGUUGUAACAUUGAUUUUACCAUGUUUAGGAGAUGAAGAUGUUGUAACACUGAUUUUACCAUGAGAAGAGGCCAUAUAUAUAUAUAUAUAUAUAUAUACUUGUAUAUUUUUAUUAUAAUAUAAUAUUCCCUCUCCAAAAACUCAAAACUAGCUAGAGAGAGAGAGAGAGUUGAUCAGUUUUUGUGUAGUGAUGAAGAAGGCUAGCUCUAAAUGGAAAAAGU
Molecule: long non-coding RNA, 1171 nt
Filed under: Panax ginseng (ginseng)
Lineage: Eukaryota; Viridiplantae; Streptophyta; Magnoliopsida; Apiales; Araliaceae
Description: long non-coding RNA (PGIN_LNC015593)
Source: RNAcentral